This 1945-nucleotide unclassified non-coding RNA is filed under the name Daphnia magna. RNAcentral's name for it is "intraflagellar transport protein 56, transcript variant X1". Lineage: Eukaryota; Metazoa; Arthropoda; Branchiopoda; Diplostraca; Daphniidae. The record is from RNAcentral.
GUAUGGUACUGUUGAGCUACAUAGUUGCCUAGCAACUUAUCCCUGUGCUUUUUCAAUUUGUUUAGCGCAAUCACAACAAAAACCGGAAGAACAAGACUGUAGAAAAACAUUUUACUAGAAGACGAAUCGGAAACGAGAAAGAAAAUGCUGCUGUCACGAACAAAACCUGCAGCUAGUAACAAAAACCAUUCCUUAGUGAAUCUAAGUGAAAUUACCAAAGCUCAACGAAUGGCAGUGUCACCUCAGGAAGUGCCAUCGGUUACUAAAUUUGUAGAGAAUCGAGAUUUCCAAGGAGCUAUUACUCUUUUAGAGUACCAAAAACAAAACGAAAAUGCUAGCUCGGAAACAGAUUUGUGGUUAGUAUACUGCGAAUUCCAUCGUGGCAACUACAAGCAGGCCCUUUUGCAAUACGAGACAAUGAACAACUCGCUUUACGCUGCUUGCUGCUAUUUCUAUUUAGGGAUGUAUCAAGAAUCGCGCGAAUUAGUUCUCAAAUCACCAAAAUGUCCUUUGCAGGUUAGACUUUCUUUUCAUUUGGCUCACAAAACUGGCGAUGAAGUAAGCGUACUAGAGUUCCAUAGGCAACUACGUGAUGUUGCUGAAGACCAACUGUCUUUGGCGGCUGUUCACUUUUUACGCGCACACUACCAAGAAGCAAUCGACAUCUACAAGCGACUUGUUUUACAAAACAAGGAUCUCAUGGCCCUUCAUGUCUAUAUUGCUCUGUGCUACUACAAACUGGAUUUCUACGAUGUUUCUCAAGAAGUGUUGUCUGUUUAUCUGCAAAAGAAUCCAGAUUCGCUAAUCGCUAUUAAUUUGAAAGCUUGCAACAUUUACCGACUGUAUAAUGGCCGCAGUGCCGAAUCUGAGAUUCGCCCGCUGUUGGAGGCUCAAGUCAAUUGUCCAUUCGGCAAGGAUUUAUUAAAUCACAAUCUCGUCAUUUUCAGAAACGGAGAUGGUGCUCUUCAAGUGCUGCCGCCGUUGGUCGAUGUCAUUCCAGAGGCCAAACUUAACUUGAUCAUUUACUAUCUCCGACAAGAUGAGACAAAGGAAGCUUUCGAUUUAAUGCAAGAUGUCAAUCCAAGCUUGCCGGCCGAGUACAUUUUGAAAGGAAUCGUGUAUGCGCUUAUUGGACAGGAAACAAACAACAAAGAGUACUUGGAUACAGCAAUCCAGUAUUUGCAUCUCGUUGGAGGUAGCGCGAGUGAGUGUGACACAAUACCUGGGCGUCAGUGUGUCGCUUCAGCCUUUUUCCUUCAACGUCAAUACGAGGACGUCUUGCUGUACUUCAAUUCAAUUAAAUCCUAUCUGAGUAAUGAUGAUACUUUCAAGUUCAAUCUGGCACAGGUGCAAACAAUAUUAGGACACUACAAAGAAGCUGAAGAGGAACUUGUUACCAUCCAGAGCGCAAAGUACCGUAGCGAGUACAACUACAUCGAGUGUUUAACGCGUUGCCUGGUGAUGAAUCGCAAAGCUGUCCAGGCCUGGGAAAUAUAUUCCAGAAUGGAAACAUCUGCAGAAUCUUUGGGAAUUCUCCAUUUGUUAGCCAAUGAUUGCUAUCGUACUGGGCAGUUUUACAUCGCUGCAAAGGCAUUCGAUGUUUUGGACAAAUACGAUCCCAAUCCAGAACACGCUGCGGCAAAACGUGGGGCAUGUGUAGGUUUACUUCAAAUGGUUUUAGCAGGACGAGAACACAGGGAGGCUUUAAGUGAAGCUGUAAAUUUAAUGCGGGGAUCUCCUGACCCACAGAUGGAUCAUAUUUUGAGAGUCAUAAUGAACUGGGCAAAAGAAAAUCGAAUUAAAAUGUAAAAUAGCCUUCCAUGGCGUGCAAGUUAUCGGCGUUACAUCGCUAAAUGACAAUAAAAUUCCUAUUGAAGGAGCUAUAUGAAACAAUGGACCGACAUAAUUAAUAAUCUAACUAAUACACAGAAAUGUUGAUUCAUAA